UGGAGUAAUCACCGACCAUAUAAUUGUGUCUAAGCAAUUCUUUACCUAUUGGCUAUAGAAUUGUUGAAGACAACUUAGUUAUUACCAAAUUGAUUAUCCCACAGCAUUUGAGGUUUUAAAGACAACUAAUUCUUGAUAUUACAUUAUUACAUGCAUAGCCUAUUUAAUCCUCCUAUCAAAAAAGCCUAUUUAAUCCUAUCAUGUAUAUAAUGGGCCUUUACCUCACAAUUAUUUAUGAUCACGAGUCUUUAAUUUGUAAAUAUUGUAUUAGCCGAAUGCCUUGUGUUUUCAUUGCACACAAUCAUCAUGAUAGGCAAACGUGAAUGCAUCCUUUGGUGUUGCUGAAAUUUAUAUCCG
This 357-nucleotide long non-coding RNA is filed under the name Glycine max (soybean). RNAcentral describes it as "long non-coding RNA (GMAX_LNC001635)". Lineage: Eukaryota; Viridiplantae; Streptophyta; Magnoliopsida; Fabales; Fabaceae. The record is from RNAcentral.